GCCAGCGGUGAGGUUGAAUCCACUGGUUCCCAUUGGUUUACUGAAGUUAAGCAACGUUGUGCAUGGUUGGUUUUCGGAUGGGUGACCAUCUAGGCAAUCGCGUGCCACUGGCU
RNAcentral lists this ribosomal RNA (113 nucleotides) under Diaphorina citri (Asian citrus psyllid). The record is from RNAcentral. Lineage: Eukaryota; Metazoa; Arthropoda; Insecta; Hemiptera; Psyllidae.